Long non-coding RNA from Lagopus leucura (white-tailed ptarmigan), 312 nucleotides. RefSeq lists it as uncharacterized. The record is from RefSeq and is a predicted model, not a curated record. The transcript has 3 exons. NCBI's taxonomy places the organism in Eukaryota, Metazoa, Chordata, Aves, Galliformes, Phasianidae.
AUGCAUUGAAGUAGAAGAUGUUAUCUUCUCUGGCAUGCCUCCAUCGCAUCACAGACAUGAGCGUGCUUUCUCCCAGGUACAGAACCUGCCCUACUGUCUGCCUGAUGUGGCUUUGCAAGCAUCUGAAUGUUGAGAUAAGACCAUCCUUUCCUCCAAGAGCUUGGUAAAGGUAUUGUGUGAUCUAGUCUAAAGAGAAUUGUCUGAACUUGAAGAGGUUAAAAUCACCUGUUGACUUCUGCCUAUUUGAUUGCUUUUUGGAUGAGGCUCUGAACAGACAACAUGCCAUAUGGGAUCCAGCCAAAAAGAAGUAAU